Molecule: long non-coding RNA, 586 nt
Organism: Salvia splendens (bonfire salvia)
Lineage: Eukaryota; Viridiplantae; Streptophyta; Magnoliopsida; Lamiales; Lamiaceae
Exons: 3
Source: RefSeq, a predicted model, not a curated record
GAUGAUAUAAAGAGUUGCUAAAAGUGAUAUCAUAUGAUAGGGCAAUAAAAUGUUACAAGAUAAUUAAUUUAUUUAAAAACUAACUAAAUAAUUAAAUAAUAAUUAGAAUUCUCUAGAAUAAAAUUGUGUCUAUCAUCAACUCCAACCCCCCUCCCCUCAUUUCAGCCAAGAACGUCCACCCCUCUCUUCCAUUGAAGACAAGAGCUCAACCUUUUCAUUUCCAAAUCUUUUGUCAUUUUAAUCGGUAAAUCGAUCGGGAAAUCGGAUAUCCGCCAGAAAAUCAAGUAUAAGGCAUAGAAGCUUGUAACACGAGUCGUGCAAAAAUGAAUGGACCUAGAAGAUAGCAAAGGGUCGGAAGGUGAAAUAGGCUUAUGUUCAUAAGCCUGCGAGGUUAGAGUCGACAUUAUGUCAGUGGUGUCGCACAACUUUGCAUCUUUGGCGAGUCACUGGUGGUCAACUUGGUUUAGUAGACGUGGCAUGUUGGGCAAUAGUUUAAUCUUUAACCUUCCGUUGGGUAAAUGUUACGUUUUUAAAUGUAAUAGAUUUUUAAUUAUGCUUUUAAGCUAAAAAAAGAAAAAUUUCUGCA